GAUGAACGCUGGCGGCGUGCCUAAUACAUGCAAGUCGAGCGAACGGACGAGAAGCUUGCUUCUCUGAUGUUAGCGGCGGACGGGUGAGUAACACGUGGAUAACCUACCUAUAAGACUGGGAUAACUUCGGGAAACCGGAGCUAAUACCGGAUAAUAUUUUGAACCGCAUGGUUCAAAAGUGAACGACGGUCUUGCUGUCACUUAUAGAUGGAUCCGCGCUGCAUUAGCUAGUUGGUAAGGUAACGGCUUACCAAGGCAACGAUGCAUAGCCGACCUGAGAGGGUGAUCAGCCACACUGGAACUGAGACACGGUCCAGACUCCUACGGGAGGCAGCAGUAGGGAAUCUUCCGCAAUGGGCGAAAGCCUGACGGAGCAACGCCGCGUGAGUGAUGAAGGUCUUCGGAUCGUAAAACUCUGUUAGUAGGGAAGAACAUAUGUGUAAGUAACUGUGCACAUCUUGACGGUACCUAAUCAGAAAGCCACGGCUAACUACGUG
RNAcentral lists this ribosomal RNA (497 nucleotides) under uncultured bacterium. Its description in RNAcentral is "partial 16S ribosomal RNA". It matches the Rfam family "Bacterial small subunit ribosomal RNA", at positions 28 to 507 of the family's 1533-position model. The record is from RNAcentral.